Small nuclear RNA from Acomys russatus (golden spiny mouse), 105 nucleotides. NCBI's taxonomy places the organism in Eukaryota, Metazoa, Chordata, Mammalia, Rodentia, Muridae. The record is from RefSeq and is a predicted model, not a curated record.
GUACCCACUCUGUCGGUACAUACACUAAAAUUGAAACAAGCAGAAAGGAUUAGCAAGCUCCCUACACAGGACAACAUGAAAAUCUGAAGAAUAUUCCAUAUUUUU